Molecule: ribosomal RNA, 465 nt
Filed under: Triticum aestivum (bread wheat)
Lineage: Eukaryota; Viridiplantae; Streptophyta; Magnoliopsida; Poales; Poaceae
Description: partial small subunit ribosomal RNA
Source: RNAcentral
AUGAUACCCUUUAGCUUCACAGUGACAAGUCAUUUUCUCAUUACUUUGGCUCUUUCAUUUUCCAUUUUAAUAGGCAUUACGAUCAUUGGAUUUCAAAGACAUGGGCUUCAUUUUUUUAGCUUCUUAUUACCUGCGGGAGUCCCACUGCCGUUAGCACCUUUCUUAGUACUCCUUGAGCUAAUCUCUUAUUGUUUUCGUGCAUUAAGCUUAGGAAUACGUUUAUUUGCUAAUAUGAUGGCCGGUCAUAGUUUAGUAAAGAUUUUAAGUGGGUUUGCUUGGACUAUGCUAUUUCUGAAUAAUAUUUUCUAUUUCAUAGGAGAUCUUGGUCCCUUAUUUAUAGUUCUAGCACUAACCGGUCUGGAAUUAGGUGUAGCUAUAUCACAAGCUCACGUUUCCACGAUCUCAAUUUGUAUUUACUUGAAUGAUGCUACAAAUCUCCAUCAAAAUGAGUCAUUUCAUAAUUGA